RNAcentral lists this long non-coding RNA (4887 nucleotides) under Amborella trichopoda. Its description in RNAcentral is "long non-coding RNA (ATRI_LNC001882)". The record is from RNAcentral. Lineage: Eukaryota; Viridiplantae; Streptophyta; Magnoliopsida; Amborellales; Amborellaceae.
UCUGUAAAUGCCCAAGAUGUUAGAGCUCCCUCUCUCUCUCUCUCUCUUUAAGACCUUGUAGACCAGAUUUUUCUCACCCCAAUUUCCCAAUUGCAUAGAAAUCUCUCUCUAUAGAGGAGUGUUUCCUUAAACAAAUGCCCAAGAGGAGUAUAGGGCUUUCUCUCUAUAGAGGAGUAUCUCCCUAUACAAAUUAUUCUCACCCCAAUCCCCAGUAGCAAACUAUUGUUGUGGAGAGAGAGCGAGAAACAUGAGGAGAGAGAGAGAGUUGGGGGAAAUCAUGGGAGAGAAAAGUUUUAGGAGAAUCAUGUGAAGAGAGAGGUUUACAAAGGGUAUGUCUUUUUAAGAUUUGUUUGGGCUAAAAACAAUAGGGUCAAAGUGAGUAAAUUUGGUCUAGGUGAUUAGAAGAUAUAAUAUAAGUGAUAACCAUGUCCUACGAUAUGUUUUGAAACUUUAGGUCUAUUGGGAAAUGAAACCUAAAAACAGGAGAUAUGGAGAUAUGUUCCCUUUAUUUUAUUUUCUUUUACACGUAGCUCGGUUUGGAUGAACUCAUCCAAAGAUGAAGCUUUUCUGAAAUAGUGCUUUUGUUAUGGAUUUCUUGAGGAACCUGCAUGAGUUUGGGAUGUUUGAUUGCUGUGUUAUUAAAAUUAUGGUUAUAAGCCACUGUUUUAUUGAACUUAUGGACUCUAUAGCUAAAGAAAACUCAGAACUUAGACGAACAUGCUUGCGAAUGAUUUUUUGAUUUUGAAGGUUGUUCGUAUUCUGUGUGUAUGGAUUUCUAUUGUUUCGUGUAGUUUAAGUUUGGGAAUAAAUGUUUACUGUGAUCUAUAACUGCAUUUAUGGCUAUGAUUUGUAUGUUUGGUGGUCAUUGGGUUGGGUGCUAUUUCAUUCAUAUCAGUGCUUUUCGUUCUUUUCUUAUUUUUUUGGCAGAUUUUAAAAAAUUUGGAACCUUUUGAUGGUUUACACUAGACAUGAAUAAAACCCACUUUCAAAAGGGAAUAUGGUGUGAUAUCCUAGGUUUCUUAUGGGUGUAUGCUUGUACUUUGAGAAUGUGAGAUCUGCCAUAUUGAAUAGUACGUUGGCUUUUGGUAUUUGAUAGAGUAGUAUCUGAUUUUAUUUUAUUUUUAUUUGAAAAGUGAGUAGUAUCUGAUGUUAAGAGCUAAGAAGUCUUAAAAUAAUAUUUUGACAAACAAUUAUGUCGGCAUUUAGUUUCAUGGAUAGUAGUUGCAAGUUUGCAACUUAACAAGUUCAAUAACAUGGCCCUUGGGGACAGAAUUUGGAUAUCGACUUUUUUGUUUGUAGCAAGAACAGUUGAUUAGUAUGUUCCAGAGAACAGCGGAUCAUCAAACAGCCAGCCCAUUGAACUAUUAUCCUAUUGGACGUUGGGGUUGCUCCUUUUCGAGGUUUCUAGAUUUGUGUAUUGUCCAAAUAUAAGCCCUAACUUGAUGGAAGACUUCAGGAUCAGAUAACGUUGAAUGCCAGCAUAAAUGCACGAAGCAUAGCGGUCUCAUAUAGAGAAAUGUGGAGGCAACUUCAAUGAAAUGCUCAAAGGCUGGCAUAGAGCCCAAUGCCCAUAUAGCAUCCUCCUCAAAUAUAUAUAUAUUGAAGCAAGGGAGCACGAAAAACCAAAGCUAGCCAAUCAUAGAUGAAAUAUGAGUUGACUGAUAAUCAAUUCAUUCAGAGUGGUGUUUUUGAAUUGAGAGGAGCCAUGCAUUUAUAUUUUACUUGGUCAAGUUCCUUAUUUUGAUGCGUGAAUAGAGAUCUUACGUGCUCAAAAAUAAAAUAAAAUGUUUUCUAGAUUACCAAGUGAAAGGUACAUUGCUGAUCGUUAUAUAUGAGAAAUCCUUGUAAACUGUUGUUGAUGAUGAUAGUUUAUUGUGAAUUGUAAAUUGCCUCUUUGAAUUGUAUGAUAAACCCUUUGAUUUGGGAAAUUUUUAUAUUUGAGAUCACCUGUAUAAAACAUAUGCGAUUGCUAUUGCUUGCCAUCCGAUGUAAAUGGACAACUGGGAUAACUUUUAUCAUAAUGUCACAUCUACACUGUUGUAUUGUUAAGUUUUUUUUAAUAAAGGGUCUUGAUAUUAAAUUUAGUUUUAACUUGUGAUAUUAAGAUUGAAGUUAUUCUAGCUGUUCAUUUGGAUUUGAUGGCUGAAAAUAGCAUUCAUUGUGUGGGUGUGAUAUAUGUAUAAUAUUUUUAUCCCUCACUUCUUAAUUGCUAGGUCUGGGUAUCAUUGUAGAGUAUAUUAGUGUAUAACUAGCUUAUCAUAAUUUUUCAAGCUUCAUCCUAACUAAUGGGGUUAGUUAUACGAGUCUUGGUAUGACAUUUCACUCUAUCAAGGGCAAUACUUUCUGUCAUUAUAUUUCAUCAUAUUUUUUCUCACUAUUUUCAAUUGUUCUUUUAAGUCAUUUUUUUGUUUUUUUAGAUCUUGUCUUUUUAUAGCUUUCCACUUGAAUCAAAUCAUCCAUCCGAACGGGUGUUAUAGGUCAAUUUUGUAUAUUGCCAAACAUUAGUGCAUAGUUAAUGUUAUAGUUAAAAAAAGAAAAAAAUAACAGCGAUGUACUACGGGAUGUAUAUAAGGGAGGGCUAUUUCGGUAGUCCUACCAAUAAUAAUAAAUCAAUAAAUGAUCUGAGUUGUCCAUUUUUUAGUCCUACCGUGGAUGAUUAUUUUAUUUUCAAAAAUCUCCUUAAAUCUAUAUGUAUCAAUGUACAAUCGAGGAAUGAACGGUUCAAAACAGGUUACUUACAAGAUUUUAAAAGGAUAUUUCCCCAAGUUUACCAAACAAAAAAAAUGAUUCCAUAGGGAAUUUCAGAUAUGUUACAAAUAUAUGAAAAACAAANNNNNNNNNNNNNNNNNNNNGUCUGUAAAUGCCCAAGAUGUUAGAGCUCCCUCUCUCUCUCUCUCUCUUUAAGACCUUGUAGACCAGAUUUUUCUCACCCCAAAUUCCCAAUUGCAUAGAAAUCUCUCUCUAUAGAGGAGUGUUUCCUUAAACAAAUGCCCAAGAGGAGUAUAGGGCUUUCUCUCUCUAGAGGAGUAUCUCCCUAUACAAAUUAUUCUCUCACCCCAAUCCCCAGUAGCAAACUAUUGUUGUGGAGAGAGAGCGAGAGACAUGAGGAGAGAGAGAGAGUUGGGGGGAAAUCAUGGGAGAGAGAGAAGUUUUAGGAGAAUCAUGUGAAGAGAGAGGUUUACAAAGGGUAUGUCUUUUUAAGAUUUGUUUGGGCUAAAAACAAUAGGGUCAAAGUGAGUAAAUUUGGUCUAGGUGGUUAGAAGAUAUAAUAUACGUGAUAACCAUGUCCUACGAUAUGUUUUGAAACUUUAGGUUUAUUGGGAAAUGAAACCUAAAAACAGGGGAUAUGGAGAUAUGUUCACUUUAUUUUAUUUUCUUUUACACGUAGCUCGGUUUGGAUGAAUUCAUCCAAAGAUGUAGCUUUUCUGAAAUAGUGCUUUUGUUAUGGAUUUCUUGAGGAACCUGCAUGAGUUUGGGAUGUUUGAUUGCUGUGUUAUUAAAAUUAUAGUUGUAAGCCACUGUUUUAUUGAACUUAUGGACUCUAUAGCUAAAGAAAACUCAGAACUUUGACGAACAUGCUUGCUAAUGAUUUUUUGAUUUUGAAUGUUGUUCGUAUUCUGUGUGUAUGGAUUUCUAUUGUUUCGUGUAGUUUAAGUUUGGGAAUAAAUGUUUACUGUGAUCUAUAACUGCAUUUAUGGCUAUGAUUUGUAUGUUUGGUGGUCAUUGGGUUGGGUGCUAUUUCAUUCAUAUCAGUGCUUUUCUUUCUUUUCUUAUUUUUUUGGCAGAUUUUAAAAAAUUUGGAAGCUUUUGAUGGUUUACACUAGACAUGAAUAAAACCCACUUUCAAAAGGGAAUAUGGUGUGAUAUCCUAGGUUUCUUAUGGGUGUAUGCUUGUACUUUGAGAAUGUGAGAUCUGCCAUAUUGAAUAGUACGUUGGCUUUUGGUAUUUGAUAGAGUAGUAUCUGAUUUUAUUUUAUUUUUAUUUGAAAAGUGAGUAGUAUCUGAUGUUAAGAGCUAAGAAGUCUUAAAAUAAUAUUUUGACAAACAAUUAUGUCGGCAUUUAGUUUCAUGGAUAGUAGUUGCAAGUUUGCAACUUAACAAGUUCAAUAACAUGGCCCUUGGGGACAGAAUUUGGAUGUCGACUUUUUUGUUUGUAGCAAGAACAGUUGAUUAGUAUGUUCCAGAGAACAGCGGAUCAUCAAACAGCCAGCCCAUUGAACUAUUAUCCUAUUGGACGUUGGGGUUGCUCCUUUUCGAGGUUUCUAGAUUUGUGUAUUGUCCAAAUAUAAGCCCUAACUUGAUGGAAGACUUCAGGAUCAGAUAACGUUGAAUGCCAGCAUAAAUGCACGAAGCAUAGCGGUCUCAUAUAGAGAAAUGUGGAGGCAACUUCAAUGAAAUGCUCAAAGGCUGGCAUAGAGCCCAAUGCCCAUAUAGCAUCCUCCUCAAAUAUAUAUAUAUAUUGAAGCAAGGGAGCACGAAAAACCAAAGCUAGCCAAUCAUAGAUGAAAUAUGAGUUGACUGAUAAUCAGUUCAUUCAGAGUGGUGUUUUUGAAUUGAGAGGAGCCAUGCAUUUAUAUUUUACUUGGUCAAGUUCCUUAUUUUGAUGCGUGAAUAGAGAUCUUACGUGCUCAAAAAUAAAAUAAAAUGUUUUCUAGAUUACCAAGUGAAAGGUAAAUUGCUGAUCCUUAUAUACGAGAAAUCCUUGUAAACUGUUGUUCAUGAUGAUAGUUUAUUGUGAAUUGUAAAUUGCCUCUUUGAAUUGUAUGAUAAACCCUUUGAUUUGGGAAAUUUUUAUAUUUGAGAUCACCUGUAUAAAACAUAUGCGAUUGCUAUUGCUUGCCAUCCGAUGUAAAUGGACAACUGGGAUAACUUUUAUCAUAAUGUCAC